Molecule: long non-coding RNA, 632 nt
Filed under: Homo sapiens (human)
Lineage: Eukaryota; Metazoa; Chordata; Mammalia; Primates; Hominidae
Description: HSALNT0351519
Source: RNAcentral
GCAUAGGUAUAUGCGGGCAGCUGCACUAAUAGAAAAGGGACACUUGGAAGUGAGGUAUGUUCAAUAGGGAGAAUCCAUUUUCCCUUUUCUUUGUUGCCACGUGUGCAAUAAAGAAGCAUGCAACAUGGUGCUAGCCAGGUAGAGAAGCCAUCUACAUAAUAAAAGAGUAGGGUGGGGCAGCCAGAUUCUUCGCACGCUGUGCAAACAGCACACCUGAUCCAAACUAUCUCUCUAUGUAAAUAUGCCCUAUGUAAAUCAGAUACCUUCUCCUCAAGCUCAUCUAUAAAAACUCCUGCACUUCGCCAUGGACCGGAAGCCCCUCUCUCUCUACAGGAGAAUUUCUCUCUUUCUUUUGCCUCUUAAACCUCCAAGCUUAACCUCACAUUUUGUGUGUCUGCGUCCUUGAUUUCCUUGGUGUGAGGCAAUGAACCUCAGGUAUUACCCCAGACAAGCGAAGCUGCUUCACUUUCAUUGACGGAUGCAGGUCAAGAAAAUUACAUCCCUCCCAGAAUGCGAAGAUAUAAACAUGCUCUAAGGAGGUAUGACAGCUAUGCUCAAGAUUCAGGUGCUCAGAUAAUUAGACGAGUCCCAGUUGACCCACUUGUGGUAUACAAAAGAGAAAUACAUUAUUG